Molecule: ribosomal RNA, 433 nt
Filed under: uncultured bacterium
Lineage: Bacteria
Description: partial 16S ribosomal RNA
Rfam family: Bacterial small subunit ribosomal RNA
Source: RNAcentral
AGCGAACGCUGGCGGCAGGCCUAACACAUGCAAGUCGAACGAACUCUUCGGAGUUAGUGGCGGACGGGUGAGUAACACGUGGGAACGUGCCCUUUGGUACGGAAUAACUCAGGGAAACUUGAGCUAAUACCGUAUGUGCCCUUCGGGGGAAAGAUUUAUCGCCAUUGGAGCGGCCCGCGUCUGAUUAGCUAGUUGGUGAGGUAAAGGCUCACCAAGGCUACGAUCAGUAGCUGGUCUGAGAGGAUGAUCAGCCACAUUGGGACUGAGACACGGCCCAAACUCCUACGGGAGGCAGCAGUAGGGAAUCUUGCGCAAUGGGCGAAAGCCUGACGCAGCCAUGCCGCGUGAAUGAUGAAGGUCUUAGGAUUGUAAAAUUCUUUCACCGGGGACGAUAAUGACGGUACCCGGAGAAGAAGCCCCGGCUAACUUCGUG